Molecule: ribosomal RNA, 252 nt
Filed under: uncultured bacterium
Lineage: Bacteria
Description: partial 16S ribosomal RNA
Rfam family: Bacterial small subunit ribosomal RNA
Source: RNAcentral
UACGUAAGGGGCGAGCGUUAUCCGGAAUUAUUGGGCGUAAAGAGUAUGUAGGUGGUUUUUUAAGCGCGAGGUUUAAGGCAAUGGCUCAACCAUUGUUUGCCUUGCGAACUGGAAAACUUGAGUGCAGGAGAGGAAAGCGGAAUUCCUAGUGUAGCGGUGAAAUGCGUAGAUAUUAGGAGGAACACCAGAGGCGAAGGCGGCUUUCUGGACUGUAACUGACACUGAGAUACGAAAGCGUGGGGAGCAAACAGG